This 346-nucleotide unclassified non-coding RNA is filed under the name soil metagenome. Its description in RNAcentral is "partial contains 5.8S ribosomal RNA, internal transcribed spacer 2, and large subunit ribosomal RNA". The stretch from base 1 to 120 matches the Rfam family "5.8S ribosomal RNA", at positions 35 to 154 of the family's 154-position model. The record is from RNAcentral.
GAUGAAGAACGCAGUAAAAUGCGAUAAGUAAUGUGAAUUGCAGAAUUCAGUGAAUCAUCGAAUCUUUGAACGCACAUUGCGCCCGCCAGUAUUCUGGCGGGCAUGCCUGUUCGAGCGUCAUUUCAACCCUCAAGCCCUCGGGUUUGGUGUUGGGGAUCGGCGAGCCUUUCUGGCAAGCCGGCCCCGAAAUCUAGUGGCGGUCUCGCUGCAGCCUCCAUUGCGUAGUAGUAAAGCCCUCGCAACUGGAACGCGGCGCGGCCAAGCCGUUAAACCCCCAACUUCUGAAUGUUGACCUCGGAUCAGGUAGGAAUACCCGCUGAACUUAAGCAUAUCAAUAAGCGGAGGA